UAAAUCCAGCACAUAUAGCACAUUAAAAAAUAGAGCACCACGUAAAACAUGUAUAUUAAAAGCAAUUGAAAACAAUAAAAGAUGUAACUAUCAGGUGAGAAAUGGAGGACUAUUGUAUGUGGAAAGCUAAUCUGAAGAGGUGUGUUUUGAUUGGUGUUUUGAAUGUGUCCAGGGUAGUACACUCAAGAGAGAGAGA
Long non-coding RNA from Etheostoma cragini (Arkansas darter), 196 nucleotides. RefSeq lists it as uncharacterized. The transcript has 3 exons. NCBI's taxonomy places the organism in Eukaryota, Metazoa, Chordata, Actinopteri, Perciformes, Percidae. The record is from RefSeq and is a predicted model, not a curated record.